RNAcentral lists this ribosomal RNA (241 nucleotides) under uncultured bacterium. RNAcentral describes it as "partial 16S ribosomal RNA". It matches the Rfam family "Bacterial small subunit ribosomal RNA", at positions 15 to 245 of the family's 1533-position model. The record is from RNAcentral.
GAUCAUGGCUCAGGAUGAACGCUAGCUACAGGCUUAACACAUGCAAGUCGAGGGGAAACGACAUCGAAAGCUUGCUUUUGAUGGGCGUCGACCGGCGCACGGGUGAGUAACGCGUAUCCAACCUGCCCAUCACUUGGGAAUAACCUUGCGAAAGUAAGACUAAUGCCCAAUGAUAUCCCACGAAGGCAUCCGAAUGGGAUUAAAGAUUUAUCGGUGUACGAUGGGGAUGCGUUCCAUUAGG